GUGCCCGCUUUGGCAGCACAUAUACUAAAAUUGGAACAAUACAGAGAAGAUUAGUGUGCCCCUACACAAUGAUGGCAUCCAAAUUCAUGAAGCAUUCCAUAUUUUU
Small nuclear RNA from Cercocebus atys (sooty mangabey), 106 nucleotides. The record is from Ensembl. Lineage: Eukaryota; Metazoa; Chordata; Mammalia; Primates; Cercopithecidae.